CGAGGAGUGGCUCAGUCUGGCUAGAGCACCUGGUUCGGGACCAGGGGGUCGCUGGUUCAAAUCCAGUCUCCCCGACCA
This 78-nucleotide transfer RNA is filed under the name Deltaproteobacteria bacterium. RNAcentral describes it as "tRNA-Pro". It matches the Rfam family "tRNA". From Rfam's summary of the family: Transfer RNA (tRNA) molecules are approximately 80 nucleotides in length. Their secondary structure includes four short double-helical elements and three loops (D, anti-codon, and T loops). Lineage: Bacteria; Pseudomonadati; Myxococcota; Myxococcia. The record is from RNAcentral.